This 558-nucleotide long non-coding RNA is filed under the name Homo sapiens (human). Its description in RNAcentral is "HSALNT0017171". The record is from RNAcentral. Lineage: Eukaryota; Metazoa; Chordata; Mammalia; Primates; Hominidae.
CAAACACUGGGAUCCCUGGAUACCAUGAGGCAAGAUUUCACUCUGUCACCCAGACUGGAGUGCAGUGGCACAAACAUAGCUCACUGAAGCCUCAAACUCCUGGGCUCAAGAGAUCCUUCUGCUUCAGCCUCCUGAGUAGCUGGGACUUCAGAAUCCCAGUCCUCUCUCUCUCACUGACCCCGAAGAUAAGCAUUGGAAAGGGGAGCUUUGGGGAAAUGAAUCUGCCCUGUCAUCUGCGUAUAGAGCUAAUCUUAAAUCCCAACUGCCAAAUGGAUCCUGAGGUGUCAGAAACUCUCCCGAGAUAAGGGGGCUUCUAGCAACCAUCUGCAUUCUGGACCCAGAGAGAAGGUGUGGGUGGACAAAGCAAAGCAGAGCCCUGACCUCACACCAGCUGGCUGAGCUGUCUUGGCUUGCAUUUGCUGUUCCAGCAUUUGUGGAGUUUGAAAUCUGCAUGCUUGGAGUGCGGAGAGCUGGAUCUUGCACCACAGUCUCCCUGUGGGCUCUUGACCGAAGAAGGAGGAGGAUAAGGAGAGAGAAAAGAAGAAUAAGAGGUAGAAG